GACGAACGCUGGCGGCGUGCUUAACACAUGCCAGUCGUACGGUAAGGCCCUUUCGGGGGUACACGAGUGGCGAACGGGUGAGUAACACGUGAGCAACCUGCCCACAACUUUGGGAUAACGCUAGGAAACUGGUGCUAAUACUGGAUAUGUGCUCCUGCUGCAUGGUGGGGGUUGGAAAGCUCCGGCGGUUGUGGAUGGACUCGCGGCCUAUCAGCUUGUUGGUGGGGUAGUGGCCUACCAAGGCGGCGACGGGUAGCCGGCCUGAGAGGGUGACCGGCCACAUUGGGACUGAGAUACGGCCCAGACUCCUACGGGAGGCAGCAGUGGGGAAUAUUGCACAAUGGGCGCAAGCCUGAUGCAGCAACGCCGCGUGCGGGAUGACGGCCUUCGGGUUGUAAACCGCUUUCAGCAGGGACGAAGCUUUUUGUGACGGUACCUGCAGAAGAAGCACCGGCUAACUACGU
RNAcentral lists this ribosomal RNA (464 nucleotides) under uncultured bacterium. Its description in RNAcentral is "partial 16S ribosomal RNA". It matches the Rfam family "Bacterial small subunit ribosomal RNA", at positions 28 to 506 of the family's 1533-position model. The record is from RNAcentral.